Molecule: long non-coding RNA, 1082 nt
Filed under: Homo sapiens (human)
Lineage: Eukaryota; Metazoa; Chordata; Mammalia; Primates; Hominidae
Description: non-protein coding lnc-KDM5C-3:1
Source: RNAcentral
AUGGAAAUAGAGAUCGCCGCGCUCAUCAUUGACAAUGGCUCUGGCAUGUGCAAAGCUGGCUUUGCUGGGGAUGGAUGGCCCCUGAGCUGUGUUCCCCUCCAUCAUCAGGUGACCCCGGCACCAGGGUGUGAUGGUGGGCAUGGGCCAGAAGGACUCCUACAUGGGCCAUGAGGCCCAGAGCAAGCACGACAUCCUGACCCUGAAGUACCCUAUCGAGCAUGGCAUCAUCACCAUCUGGGAUGACAUGGAGAAGAUCUGGCACCACACCUUCUACAACGAGCUGUGCAUGACCCCAGAGAAGCACCCGGUGCUGUUGGCCGAGGCCCCUCGAACCCCAAGGCCAACAGAGAAAAGAUGACUCAGAUCAUGUUUGAGACCUUCAACACCCCAGCCAUGUAUGUGGCCAUCCAGGCCGUGUUGUCCCUCUAAGCCUCUGGGCGCAUCACUGGCACUGUCAUGGACUCUGGAGACAGGGCCACCUACAUGGUACCCAUCUACGAGGGCCAUGCCCUCCCACCACGCCAUCCUGCGUCUGGACCUGGCUGGCCAGGACCUGACCAACUACCUCAUGAAGAUCCUCACCAAGCUUCACCAUCACGGCCAAGCAGGAGAUUGUGCGCGACAUCAACGAGAAGGUGUGCUACAUCGCCCUGGACUUCGAGCAGGAGAUGGCCACUGCCACAUCCUCCUCCUCCCUGGAGAAGAGCUAUGAGCUGCCUGAUGGCCAGGUCAGGUCAUCACCAUCGGCAACAAGUGGUUCUGGUGUCUGCAGGUGCUGUUCCAGCCUUCCUUCUUGGGCAUGGAAUCCUGCGGCAUCCACAAGACCACCUUCAACUCCAUCAUGAAGUGUGACGUGGACAUCCGCAAAGACCUGUACGCCAACACAGUGCUGUCCAGCAGCACCACCAUGUGCCCUGGCAUCACCACGCUGGCAUCCAGCACCAUGAAGAUCAAGUUCAUCAUGCCCCCAGAGCACAAGUACUCGGUGUGGAUUGGUGGUUCCAUCCUGGCCUCACUGUCCACCUUCCAGCAGAUGUGGAUUAGCAAUUAGGUAUGUGGCCCCUCCAUCAUCCACUGCAAAU